This is a long non-coding RNA of Pterocles gutturalis (yellow-throated sandgrouse), 1481 nucleotides long. RefSeq lists it as uncharacterized. The record is from RefSeq and is a predicted model, not a curated record. Lineage: Eukaryota; Metazoa; Chordata; Aves; Pterocliformes; Pteroclidae. The transcript has 2 exons.
GGUCUGUCGUAUGCAAGUCACACAGUUGGUUUCACACCACCAACUUCACUGACUAGAGCUGGAAUGUCUUAUUACAAUUCCCCAGGCCUUCAUGUGCAACAUAUGGGACCAUCCCAUGGCAUUACAAGGCCUUCACCACGAAGAAGUAACAGCCCUGACAAAUUUAAACGUCCCACUCCUCCUCCUUCUCCAAACACGCAGACCCCAGUGCAGCCACCUCCGCCACCACCUCCACCACCUGUGCAGCCUACGGUCCAAUCCGCAGCAUCGCAGUCAGCCACUUUUCAACAUUCAGUGCAUCCCUCCUCUCAGCCUUAGUGCAUGUGCUCAGCAGUCUGUAUGUCAGAAGUGGACUCAUAACAUGGAGCAGUUUACUAAAAGCCAAAGGCUUAUUUGGCAUAUUUGGAUUUGACUUAUUUGCACUGAGGUUAUAUAGGCUUCACUGUUAAUUGUGUUGUAAACGUUUGUAUAAAAUGCAGCCAGUGUUGUGGGUCUACAACACUAACUUAACAAAGUUUUCCAUCAGUGUUUACUUGAACUACGUGUAUGUCCAUUCUCUGGCUGGAACAUUUGCUACUCUGUUUGGUAAUACGGCAUUACGUCGUUUUGCUUGGCUCCAAAGCUUCAUUUUCCUGGCUUUUAGGUUUGUAAAAUUUAAAGGGAUACCUUUUUAUAUUUUUUCAUGACAAUUUGCAGAAAAUUAAAGGCAUGAUGGGCUAUAUGAUAAAUUCUGAAAUAUUACAGUGUUUACCAAGCUUAUGGAAAAUCAGCACUAUGUUUCAGUCAUUUGAAAUACCAGCUUCUAGUGCAAAGUGAGUCAGACACCCUAAUUAGUGCCCAAGACACAUUCUCUAUGGUAUUACGUAGUAAAUAAGCUUAAUUCAGCACAGAGGACACAUCCAUACUUCUCCUGUUUAAAAGCACCUCAAACAUAUGGUACAGUCUGAAUUUUACAGUGAGGUGACUAGCUUGUUGGAGUCUGUGGAAUGUACCGUUCAUGGACCUUAAGAACUGAUGAUUUCACUUGACAUUUGUUAACCUGUAAGCUGCCCAUACUGUGUGAGCUGUCAGAAUUAAUGUUGGUAAGUGUGGUCCUGCCCACAGGUUACUGAUGGCUGGUUAAAGUGUGCUCUUUGAAUUUUUUGCUGCAAAAGGCAAUGUGAUUGUAGAGAACAGCUGAUAAUAAUUUUUUUUCUUGUUAAAAUACAUUAGUUGUUGAAUCCCCUGAAGCAAAGUUUGAACAGGUAUUCUAAAUGUUCUAAAGUCUGUUAGAAAAUAAGUUUCAAGAUGAGUAUUGGCCUAACAGCCAAAAUAUUGUAUUGCUUGGUAGAAACAGAGUACAAGAAAGUAGCACAACAUGGCACUAAUGAAUGCUUAUUUAGCAGCCUAAGCCGGUACAAUGUAUAAAGAAAUGUAUUCUGAAUACAUUCUUUCCAUUCAUUUAGCACAAAUAAAUUGGUUUCACUUUGCAGUGGAACAAA